UUAAUACGUACGGAUGCUACUCUA
RNAcentral lists this non-coding RNA (24 nucleotides) under Rattus norvegicus (Norway rat). The record is from RNAcentral. Lineage: Eukaryota; Metazoa; Chordata; Mammalia; Rodentia; Muridae.